RNAcentral lists this ribosomal RNA (460 nucleotides) under uncultured bacterium. Its description in RNAcentral is "partial 16S ribosomal RNA". It matches the Rfam family "Bacterial small subunit ribosomal RNA", at positions 338 to 795 of the family's 1533-position model. The record is from RNAcentral.
CCUACGGGGGGCAGCAGUGAGGAAUAUUGGUCAAUGGACGAGAGUCUGAACCAGCCAAGUAGCGUGAAGGAUGACUGCCCUAUGGGUUGUAAACUUCUUUUAUAUGGGAAUAAAAUGUUCCACGUGUGGGAUUUUGUAUGUCCCAUAUGAAUAAGGAUCGGCUAACUCCGUGCCAGCAGCCGCGGUAAUCCGGAGGAUCCGAGCGUUAUCCGGAUUUCAUGGGUUUAAAGGGGGCGUAGGGGGAUGUGUAAGUCAGUUGUGAAAGUUGGCGGCUCAAACGUAAAAUUGCAGUUGAAACUGGCAGUCUUGAGUACAGUAGAGGUGUGCGGAAUGCGUGGUGUAGCGGUGAAAUGCUUAGAUAUCACGAAGAACUCCGAUUGCGAAGGCAGUUCACUGGACUGCAACUGACACUGAGGCUCGAAAGUGUGGGUAUCAAACAGGAUUAGAUACCCCGGUAGUC